This 525-nucleotide ribosomal RNA is filed under the name uncultured bacterium. Its description in RNAcentral is "bacterial SSU rRNA". It matches the Rfam family "Bacterial small subunit ribosomal RNA", at positions 396 to 911 of the family's 1533-position model. The record is from RNAcentral.
GCCGCGUGAGUGAGGAAGGUUUUCGGAUUGUAAAGCUCUGUCGAGCGGAAAGAAGUGCAUGGUGGUUAAUAUCCAUCAUGCUUGACGGUACCGCUAAAGGAAGCACCGGCUAACUCCGUGCCAGCAGCCGCGGUAAUACGGGGGGUGCAAGCGUUGUUCGGAAUCAUUGGGCGUAAAGCGCGUGUAGGCGGCUGGACAAGUCAGAUGUGAAAGCCCUGGGCUUAACCCAGGAAGUGCAUUUGAAACUGUUCAGCUAGAGUAAGGGAGAGGAAAGUGGAAUUCCUGGUGUAGAGGUGAAAUUCGUAGAUAUCAGGAGGAACACCGGUGGCGAAGGCGACUUUCUGGCCCUAUACUGACGCUGAGACGCGAAAGCGUGGGUAGCAAACAGGAUUAGAUACCCUGGUAGUCCACGCUGUAAACGAUGUUCACUAGGUGUUGGGGGUAUUGACCCUUCCAGUGCCGCAGCUAACGCAUUAAGUGAACCGCCUGGGGAGUACGGUCGCAAGAUUAAAACUCAAAGGAAUU